AUUGAACGCUGGCGGAAUGCUUUACACAUGCAAGUCGAACGGUAGAGGGGGGCAACCCCUUGAGAGUGGCGAACGGGUGAGUAAUAUAUCGGAACGUGCCCAGUCGUGGGGAUAACGUAGCGAAAGUUACGCUAAUACCGCAUACGAUCUAAGGAUGAAAGCGGGGGACUCGCAAGAGCCUCGCGCGAUUGGAGCGGCCGAUAUCAGAUUAGGUAGUUGGUGGGGUAAAGGCUCACCAAGCCAACGAUCUGUAGCUGGUCUGAGAGGACGACCAGCCACACUGGAACUGAGACACGGUCCAGACUCCUACGGGAGGCAGCAGUGGGGAAUUUUGGACAAUGGACGCAAGUCUGAUCCAGCCAUUCCGCGUGCAGGAUGAAGGCCCUCGGGUUGUAAACUGCUUUUGUACGGAACGAAAGGUUUCUAUUAAUACUAGGUAGCUCAUGACGGUACCGUAAGAAUAAGCACCGGCUAACUACGUGCC
RNAcentral lists this ribosomal RNA (484 nucleotides) under uncultured bacterium. RNAcentral describes it as "bacterial SSU rRNA". It matches the Rfam family "Bacterial small subunit ribosomal RNA", at positions 30 to 509 of the family's 1533-position model. The record is from RNAcentral.